RNAcentral lists this ribosomal RNA (356 nucleotides) under uncultured eukaryote. RNAcentral describes it as "LSU rRNA". It matches the Rfam family "Bacterial large subunit ribosomal RNA", at positions 2124 to 2479 of the family's 2925-position model. The record is from RNAcentral.
UGGACUUUAUUCGCGCAGUAUAGGUGGGAGGCGUUGAUUAUAAUCUUGUGGGAUUAUUGGAGCCAUCAGUGAGAUACCACUCUUGUAAUGUUAGAUUUCUAACUUUGAAUCAUUAUCUGGUCAAAGAACAGUUUCAGGCGGGCAGUUUGACUGGGGCGGUCGCCUCCCAAACGGUAACGGAGGCGUACAAAGGUUUCCUCUGAACGGGUAGAAAUCGUAUCUAGAGUGUAAAGGCAUAAGGAAGCUUGACUGUGAGACCUACAAGUCGAGCAGGGACGAAAGUCGGUCUUAGUGAUCUGACGGUACUGAGUGGAAAGGCCGUCACUCAACGGAUAAAAGUUACUCUAGGGAUAACA